RNA transcript from Drosophila ficusphila, 3541 nucleotides. It is a transcript of the gene named AF4/FMR2 family member lilli, with no coding region annotated. The transcript has 6 exons. NCBI's taxonomy places the organism in Eukaryota, Metazoa, Arthropoda, Insecta, Diptera, Drosophilidae. The record is from RefSeq and is a predicted model, not a curated record.
AAUUAUACACAUAUUUUUACUUUGCUUUAACAUUAUCGUUAUUUGAGUUUCGUGUGUGUUUUCUUUUUCAAAAUACAGAUAGAUGCUUAAUAUUUUCGCACACCGGCAUGUUUUAGUACACCACAGUUAGUUACGUCCGAAUAUAGAUUUUCGCCUAACUUUUCCCAGCCAUUCGUUUUUAAUAAGAAAAUUACAAACAGUUCAAAAGCGAUCUGAGCGACAGGCAAAUACAAAUUCAAAUAAUAUAUCCGAUUUGGAGAAUUUUCAAAGCAAAAUUAUUAGAGUCCAAACGCGAGGCAGCAGCUAAUCCAAUCAUUAAAGACCACGAAGAAGCAAAUCACUCGUUAUCAUCGCGACAUUUUGUCAUAACAAAACAUAAAGGAGUGGAAAAAGAAGAGCCAACGAAGAAGAGUCCCGAUGAAACCCGACCAGCUGAACCGCCUAAUCAAAGUCAAUAGCCGAAUUCAGCCUUGGUUUCUGCGCAACACAAGCGAGCUAUACGAAAGUGCCGUUAGGACUUAUUACGAGCAUGGCUACAGCUUACACAAUCGCCAACCACAUCAUCGAACAGAGAAUGUGGGUCCUUUGCGCAGGAUCAAGAAGGCGAAGCCGCAGCCUGAUAUUUACCCGCGCAGCCACAUCCUGCAGACGGAGCAAUUGCUGCAGUCGAUGAUGCAGGCGAAUCGUCCCCGCUCGAUGUCCUUUUCGGCGGCGCGUCCCUAUUCGGUUUAUGGCCAAAGUUCCGCGCGCAGUGCCGCCAGUUCGGAUUGCUCCAGUGCGAGCAGCGACCGAUCCUCCCACACCGAUAUCCUGCUGGGAUCCCUGCACAACAGCCGAGGAGCGAGGAGGGAGCGAAGGAGAUCGGAACGGAGGAGCAGGCAAGCCGUCAACGAGAAGGAGGAGCAAUUGAUGGAGUCGGAGGGCAUGUUCAGUGGCCGAUCGAUGAGCAUGCCGCCACUGCCGUCGGGAGCUGCUGGCCUGCGAUCCACUGUGACGAUGCCGCCGAGUCGGCAGCACCACAUGGCGGCCAUUGCGAAGUCCUCGCUGGCGCAGCACCUUCACGUGGCCCGCGACUGCGAUGUGGAGUCCCUGAUGCCGGUGGAUGCUGCCCUCAAGCGUCGCAUUUCGGUGAUUGCUCAGCUGGAGCAGGAGGCGGCGGAGGAGGGGGGACGGCGAGGAAGGGCCCGGGUCUCGGAACUGGGUCACCGAAAGGGAGGCGGCCAAGCCACCGGAAACGGCAGCCACAUCACCGGAAACGGUCGACAGCCGUCGGAGAUGCGCUUCCGCUUCCAGACUUUGGGCGAUCGCAUCAAGCAGUUCGAGUACAUCCAGUUCGCCGAUGGACCCGUGGCCAGUUACGCCUUCGACCGAAGUCAGCCGAGGUCCGCUGCCAAUGCCACUGCCCUCGUGCGGCGCCACAACACCCCAAGGCAUCGCAUCGACAACUCCACGAUGGUAUAUGGCGGCCAUCGCCGCUCGGAGCUGGGCCAACAGCCGCGCCAGCUGGGCUUCCACAAUGUCCUCCAUGCCAACUAUCGCCAGCGGAGCCGCAGCCUUGAGCAGCCCGUUCAGCUGAUGGAACACGUGAUCCUGCGACCCGCCACGCCAGUCGGUCCCUUCGGCAGCGGGGCCACCACGCGGGGAUCCAGCGUGGACAGCAGUUCGCGGACCACCUUCAAGCCGACCACUUCGGCAGUUACUUGGCCAAACAAAUUGGAAGGGAAUUCAGAAACUUCUGCUCAGGAAUCGAUUCAAAGUUUAGUGCCCAGUUUUGGCAACAUAAAAAUUACGGAAGAAAAUUCCACAGAUUGGGAUGAAGCUGCUGCAGAGGAUUGGAGUAAAUCACACAGUUCGAGCAGCUCUUUGGUAUCAAAUUUAAAAGCAGCAGAUAAGCCAGCGGUGGCAAGUUCCAGCAAAGGCAAAGAAAACUGUGCUGGAGUCUCCUCUGGAUCGAGUCAAAGAUCAAAGUUGAGCGCACUUAUGGAAUCAACUUCGGGCGAAACAUCAGGAUCGUCGCCAGUAAAUGCAGCAAAUGCAGAGCCACACAGAAGCCCCUUGGGUGUCACAUCCAAGCAUCCAGGCAGUUCAAAGGCGAAGGCCGGAUCGUUUUCCAGUUCGCUUUCUGGCCAAGAUGAGAUCAGUCGGGUCCCAUUGGCACCCGUGCGGCGACUGCAGCUGCAGCAGCGCAACCUGCAGACGGCACCCAAGGUGGAAGACCCGACGGCCAAGGACCUGCCACUCAGUCCCGUUCCCCUCAAGACCAAAGGCGCAAAGGACAAGCCUCUGAAGAAGAAGCUGCUGCUGGAGAAGCCGGUGAAAGUGGCGCAGGCGAAUCAGGACAAGCCGCGGGUGACGAAGGUCACCUCGAACCAGGUGAGCCGGUUCAGCCAUCAGGCCUUCCUCCACUCGCCCGAGAAGCACAAGCACGAGUUUCCUGCGGCAAGUCCUCCCAAGAAAUCGCAUCACGAUCAUCAGGAUCAGCUUGUGAAAAGGCCGGAAGAGAAGCAGCAGAAGCGAGAGCCACCACCAGCCAGAACGUCUGCAAAUCUCAAAGGAGCCAAUCAGCUGCUGGUGGCGAGUGCCUCGCAGGUGUCAGCCUACAAGCGCGCCUUCCGCACCCAGCAGCAGAUUCUCAAGGCGGAGAUCCUGCAAAAGCAGGCGCAGCAUUUGCAGCAAGCCCGGAAUGCCACAAGUCAGAAAACGCCCAAGCCGCAGAGCCAACGGUGUGCGAUUCCAGACGCCACCAAUCGAUCGGCAAAUCGAACGAUUGCUGGCCGCAGUGCAGCCACUUCGGAGGGCAAGGCCCACCCUUUGAACGCAAAACAAGCAUCCAAGGAUGCGGGUAAGGCUGGGUCGGAACUGAGGACAAAAGUGUUUACAGGAUCACCAGGAAAGACGGCAGCAAAUCCUUCAACAGCCGCUGCUUCUCGGCCGCCGGCAGCAAAGCGGACUGCGCAGCCGGGUGCAGCGAAAACAGGAGGAAUAGCAAAAACAACAAAGAAGGAAGCAGCGGUAUCAGGAGUUGUGCCCGCAGUAGCAGCAGGAACUGGAAGAAAAAGUGGGGGAGCGGGAUGGAAAGCGGGAAUGGCAACGACCACAGCAGCAACAACAACAACAACAACACGGCGAACGGCGCUGACGCUGGCAGCGCAGCAGCAGCACUCGCGUAAUGGUAAUUCGCUGCUUGGCUUUCAGCGCGAAACGGUUAACCGCGCAGCGGCAGCGCUGCUGCAGCGACGCGACGCAGACGAGCCGCUGUCUCAGUUGCCGUCGACGUCGGCUUCGCUGUCGCAGUCGACGCAGCAGCGGCGUCAGUUUCAUUUUUCAAGUCCCCCAUGGCGUCCCAGCUAAUGAGUGUUCACUGUAUCCCGAAAUUUAGUGCUGCUUUGUGUAGUAAAUGUCCCAAAAUGAAGCGUAAAAUGGUUGGACAAAUGCAUAGAUAAAUCCAUUGUAACGCUUAACAUAGAGAUCAGAGAAUCAAUGACAGACAAUAAAACCAACUAAAACUGUUGGGAGGUCCCUAAUAGAAAAAAAAAACCGU